GACGAACGCUGGCGGCGUGCUUAACACAUGCAAGUCGAACGGAAAGGCCUGCUUUCCCUUGUGGAUUGCGGGUACUCGAGUGGCGAACGGGUGAGUAACACGUGAGUGAUCUGCCCCCAACUUGGGUAUAAGCCUGGGAAACUGGGUCUAAUUCCCGAUAGGACUGCAGGGUGGUGCCUGUGGUGGAAAACGAUUUUCUAGUGGUUGGGGAUGAGCUCGCGGCCUAUCAGCUUGUUGGUGGGGUAAUGGCCUACCAAGGCGGCGACGGGUAGCCGGCCUGGGAGGGUGGACGGCGACAUUGGGACUGAGAUACGGCCCAGACUCCUACGGGAGGCAGCAGUGGGGAAGAAUGCACAAUGGGCGGAAGCCUGAUGCAGCGACGCCGCGUGGGGGAUGACGGCCUUCGGGUUGUAAACUCCUUUCGACCGCGAGGAAGCCACCUGGUUGGAAGGGUGGUGACGGUAGUGGUAGAAGAAGCACCGGCUAACUACGUG
RNAcentral lists this ribosomal RNA (494 nucleotides) under uncultured bacterium. Its description in RNAcentral is "partial 16S ribosomal RNA". It matches the Rfam family "Bacterial small subunit ribosomal RNA", at positions 28 to 507 of the family's 1533-position model. The record is from RNAcentral.